This 254-nucleotide ribosomal RNA is filed under the name uncultured bacterium. Its description in RNAcentral is "partial 16S ribosomal RNA". It matches the Rfam family "Archaeal small subunit ribosomal RNA", at positions 474 to 727 of the family's 1478-position model. The record is from RNAcentral.
CACCGGCGGCCCGAGUGGUGAUCGUGAUUAUUGGGUCUAAAGGGUCCGUAGCCGGUUUGGUCAGUCCUCCGGGAAAUCUGAUAGCUCAACUAUUAGGCUUUCGGGGGAUACUGCCAGGCUUGGAACCGGGAGAGGUAAGAGGUACUACAGGGGUAGGAGUGAAAUCUUGUAAUCCCUGUGGGACCACCUGUGGCGAAGGCGUCUUACCAGAACGGGUUCGACGGUGAGGGACGAAAGCUGGGGGCACGAACCGG